AACGCAAAUUGCGCUUCCGGGAUAGGCCUGGAAGCACGUGUCUUUGAGCAUCGAUUCUACAAACUCUCGGCGGCGUGCUUUGUUCGCAAAGCAUGCGCAGUCGGAAUUUGGGUCCUCUCGCUCCGGCGAGUGACUUUAAGCAAAGCGAGUAGAACACAGACACAUGCUUGAACCUCUGGUUCAUAGCCUUGCUGUUGCUCACACCAAUUUAAACUGGUGCUGGCUGCUAGUGACGUGGAUAAUUUCGCCUCGGCGAAUCUUCCAAACGUGACUAGAGGGUUGGCUCAGGGCGUGCGUGACUGCUUGUGCGACAAACAGUGACUGACGUUCGACAGAACGUUUGCAUGCGUGCAGUGUGCAAACACCUACUCUUGAAUUAGAUCUCAAAUGAGACGAGAAAACCCGCUGAACUUAA
This 415-nucleotide unclassified non-coding RNA is filed under the name uncultured fungus. RNAcentral describes it as "partial contains 5.8S ribosomal RNA, internal transcribed spacer 2, and large subunit ribosomal RNA". Lineage: Eukaryota; Fungi. The record is from RNAcentral.